RNAcentral lists this transfer RNA (76 nucleotides) under Flavobacteriales bacterium. Its description in RNAcentral is "tRNA-Asn". It matches the Rfam family "tRNA". Rfam says of the family: Transfer RNA (tRNA) molecules are approximately 80 nucleotides in length. Their secondary structure includes four short double-helical elements and three loops (D, anti-codon, and T loops). Lineage: Bacteria; Pseudomonadati; Bacteroidota; Flavobacteriia; Flavobacteriales. The record is from RNAcentral.
UCUCCUAUAGCUCAGUUGGUAGAGCGUCAGACUGUUAAUCUGCAGGUCCUAGGUUCGAGCCCUAGUGGGAGAGCUA